CUCCCCUCAGCGCCGCCCGCACUGCCGAGGGGCGGCCCGGCGGCCCCUGCGCACGCUCCCUCCCCGCCGCCCGCCCACGAGGCGCCCUCCUCGCCGGGAAGGCACUGACGAGUCAUCGCCCCGCCGCCCGCAGGCCCCGCCGGCACGGCGGGACGGAGCCGCGAGGAGCGAGCGGGGCGAGCCUACAGGUGGGGAUGUUCCUGACAUUGCUGCAGGAGCUGAAGAGUAACCGAGCCUGAAAAUGCAGUAGGAUGAUCGGUGGAUGGAAAAUGAGCAUUUGCCCACUGCCAAACAACAAUAAAAGUGUGAAUAAUCAUCCUGGUUUAAGUUCAUAGUGUCCUGUGUAUCACAGAGUCUAUCACUGGUGGUGACAAAACAAGCUUUAUCCUUUACAUCGUUUUAGUCAUUUUAUUAUACAUUCAUUUAUUUUCUUGCAUACUUUUAAGUAUUUUUUGUGAUAUUUUCUCUCUUCUAAUUGUACUUAAUGUUAUCUCUUAGUACAAAUGCAAACCCUAUUUUUCAGAAAAAAGAGUAGUGUGAAGAAACCUUUUACUUCAACACGUAGAGUUUGCAAGCAGAGUUUGCAGGUAGACUUGAGAUGUUGAACUGCAGAACUACUAACAAUUUUGCACCACUUUUGGGGGGGUACAGCUGGAAGUAGGUGACAGACACAUGGUGGUCCUCAGAACAUUGUCAGGGCUGAGGGCUGUAGUGGAAAUGCUAAGUCACAACUUGAACCAGUGAUUGAGCACCUGGUGGGAAGGCAGGGCCAACCCAGAGGAGCUCAGGUGCAAGCAAUGCAUCUGAAUGACUGGAAGGGGCUGGAGCCAGGAUCCACCCAUUCUGAGACCUCAUUUAAGGGUUGGCAGUGGAGGUAAGGGUGUCUCUCUGGGGAUGCCUGGGUACUUGAGGCCUUUUGAAGGUGGCAGUGUCUUUCUUUUGUGUCUGCUGCUGUUGUGUUUGAGUGAACUCUCAUUUGCUGCUGUCUGGGAUCUUGCUGUUGUGCUGUUAUUGUUGUGCUUUCCAUUGCAUUAUAAAGGCUUUCAAACUAUAGCCUAGAUCACUGGGGAGUGGGUGAUGCUAGGCUUUCUAUGAAUGUGUACAUUUUUUGGAAUAAUACAGACGUGUUUGGUAUCAGAUGUCUUGUUUGAUCUGCUAGGUUUGAGAAUAAGUACUUCACAAAUAACUAUUUUAAUUUCUCCACUAUCUUUCUGUUAUCGUGGAAGCUUUGUUACUAAGAGUUGACUUGGCAAAGGAAUUGUUCUUGAGUUAGGCUGUGGUCCUGCAACCUUGCACCACACAGGAUGUUGUUGGGAAUAAUACUGUGAAAGUGAGUAUAAGUCUCUGUGAUCAAGGCAUAGAGCAACAAGUGGUGUGUGAGGAAGCAGAAUUAACAUGGUAAGGAGCAUUUUUCCCAAGAAACUGCUGUACUGGAAGCUAACUGGUUUAGUAAAACACAUAGGCCUUUUUAAAAGUGCUGUUGUUAAGUAUGGAUCCUCUGCACUGUUAAAGAGAUCAGGACUGCGGAUGUUGUACUUUUCUUUGCCCAUUAACAUCAACUGUCUCAGUGUAGAUCAACCAUUGUAAAUCAAAGAAAAUUCCUGAUGCAGAAAAUCAAGAUUAAUUCGAAUGUAUAUGACAUAUAAGAAUUUCAUGGGGCUGAACUACCAUGUUCAACAGAUGCAUGGAUAAGUCUCUUAUGAAACAAUACUGUGAUGGGCAUUAGGUUGAUAUCAACAACUUUUACUAGCUAUUAAUGGAACGCUUGCCACCUACAAAGAAGUCAAAGUAGGCUUGUAGCAAUCAAGUAACCAUAGAAUGGUUUGGGUUGGAAGGGACCUUUAAGAUUGUCUAGUUCCAACCCCCCUGCUAUAGGCAGGGAUAAUAAACAUCCAUGGUUAACCACCUGCUUAUAAUAGAGAAUAUCAUGAUUGCUUUCUGAUGUGUGAACUUAGUCAGAUAGCUACAGGUCUCUUUUUCAUUCUUUGUUUGUUAAAUUAUCUGGAUUUUCAAGACCUUUUGAGCUAGGGAGAGUACUUAGCUCUUGUGGCAGUUGAGCUGGAAAGUCAGGAGCUACUCAGUAUCCCGUAGAGUAAAGAUUCAAGCAGGUAUAUUUUUCUGUAAUCGUUCCUCCUACUCUAUAGGGCCUGAAUUUGUAGAUACUCAACUUUAAUGCCUUCGCUAGAAGUUGAUAGUUAAGCCAAUUCAUUUUUUUUCCCCUGUGAUUUAAGCAUUUGGAACACUUUAUGUUGGUGGUGGUUGUUGUUGGUUUGUUUUUUUUUUUUUUUUAAUUCUGGGAAGUCAGGAAGGUUUUCUUCCUAGUACAGUUGAGGGCCCUCUGCCCCUGAUUACAGUGUCAGGAAAAGAGUUUCAUGAUAUAGGCAUGAACAAUGAAGAGUGUUCUACCUUCACCUCUUCUCACCCGAGGUUUGCUGAUUUUUUUUUUUUCUGUCGCUAUUAAUGUACUACAAACAAGGGAAAUACAUUAUGUUCUGGUAAUAAAUAGUUUUUGUACAUCAAACUA
This is a long non-coding RNA of Numida meleagris (helmeted guineafowl), 2524 nucleotides long. RefSeq lists it as uncharacterized. The record is from RefSeq and is a predicted model, not a curated record. The transcript has 2 exons. Lineage: Eukaryota; Metazoa; Chordata; Aves; Galliformes; Numididae.